Long non-coding RNA from Micropterus salmoides (largemouth bass), 1297 nucleotides. RefSeq lists it as uncharacterized. The transcript has 3 exons. Lineage: Eukaryota; Metazoa; Chordata; Actinopteri; Centrarchiformes; Centrarchidae. The record is from RefSeq and is a predicted model, not a curated record.
UAUGGAAUGCACAACUAAAAAGCACGAAAGAAAGCAGGCAACAAACAACCCCAUCAGCUCUGCUCAGAAGCAAGCAAGGAAGACUAUCGUUACGAGACUACCACGAAGAAUUGACGUUAGUUAUCAUCAAAAUGAAGAGAAAACGGGACAUUAUGUCCUAUACAUUAAGUCCACAAUGAUGAGGCAGACAACGAGGCAGAGCCAGGUGGGCCAGGUGUUGAGAGAGCUACAGAGAAACAGCAGCAUGUGGAGAGUGCCACACAGAGAAAGCCAGAGGACAUGUUAGGUGGAGAGACUCGUUUUCAAAGUGAGGGCACAGAGCAGGAAGGAGAGACCACUGAGGAGCCAGAAAGUGAGGCUGAGGGUGACAUACAAGCAGAGUGUGAGACACAGACAGAGGAUACAUCGUAUGCACCCACAAGCUCUGUACCACCAGAUAUUAACAAAUGUAAAGAAGACCCACCAAUGCAGCCAAACUUGAAACUGUUUCCAAGAACCUUGAUGGGGGACAGGCGGAGGAGCUUCAAAGUAGCCUGGAAUAUUCACCCAUGGCUUGAAUAUUCAAAACUAUCGGACUCUGCAUAUUCUCCGCCGAUAAGUGCAGAAACAGUAUUUGACUCACCCUCUGGAUUCAAAAACUGGAAGAAGGCAACCUACAGAGAGGGGGGGUUGCUAUCCAUGCAAAGUCUGAGCGGCACAAACAAGCAAUGAUCACAUGGAGGGACUAUCAGAGAGCGGCGACAACUAAUGCAACUUUGGCAAAUGUCCUAAAUAAGGAACAUAACAAACUGGUUAAAGAAAUAUCGAGAAUAUAUAAAAGCAAUAGGAGAAGUGCUCCUACUGACAGCAAGACAAAACAUUGCUUAAAGAGGACACAAUGAGUCUGCAGACUCUGAUAAUAAAGGGAACUUCAUGGCAAUUCUAGAGACUGUUGCAAACCAUGACAAAGUUGUUAAGAAAAGGUUGUCUAAUGCAAAGUACACAAGCAAAAUCAUUCAGAAUGAGGUUCUUAAUUGUCUGGCAGAAAUGGUUCGAACUGAAAUUACACAAGAAGUGAAAAACAGUGAAGUCUUCAGCAUCAUGGCAGAUGAAACAAAAGAUGUAAAAAAACAAUAACAGAUUUCAUUAGUACUCACGUACUAUUUUAAUGGAGCUAUCAAGGAGAGUUUUCUUCAUUUUGAAUCUGCUGAGAAGCUAGAUGCAGAAGGGCUUACUGAAAAAAUAAUCCACAUUUUGGAAAGACACAAACUAGAAUACAAGAAAAACUAUAUAAUAAAACUACAUGUGUUAGACUGCC